RNAcentral lists this unclassified non-coding RNA (183 nucleotides) under uncultured Cladophialophora. RNAcentral's name for it is "sequence contains ITS2". Lineage: Eukaryota; Fungi; Ascomycota; Eurotiomycetes; Chaetothyriales; Herpotrichiellaceae. The record is from RNAcentral.
UCACCCCUCAAGCCCCGUGCUUGGUGUUGGACGGCCGGUCGAGUCUCUGCCUCGCACCCCUCCUCAAGACAAUGACGGCGGCCUGUGGUUCCCCCGGUACACUGAGCUUCUCACCGAGCACGUACCGGACAAGGGCGCCCAGGACCCGGUCUUCUCCUCCCCCGCGAGGAAAUAUUUUUACAA